Molecule: ribosomal RNA, 870 nt
Filed under: uncultured archaeon
Lineage: Archaea
Description: bacterial SSU rRNA
Rfam family: Archaeal small subunit ribosomal RNA
Source: RNAcentral
CUCCGGUUGAUCCUGCCGGAGACCACCGCUAUUGGUGUUCGCUUAAGCCAUGCGAGUCGAGAGGGUUCGGCCCUCGGCAGACCGCUCAGUAACACGUGGAGAAGCUGCCCUAAGGUGGGGGAUAAUCUCGGGAAACUGAGGAUAAUACCCCAUAGAUCUGGGAUGCUGGAACGCUUCCAGGUCGAAAGGCUUGCCGCCUUAGGAUGCCUCUGCGGCGUAUCAGGUCGUAGUGAGUGUAACGGACUCACUAGCCUUCGACGCGUACGGGCGUUGAGAGACGUCGCCCGGAGAUGAACUCUGAGACAUGAGUUCAGGCCCUACGGGGCGCAGCAGGCGCGAAAACUGCACAAUGUGGGAAACCACGAUGCGGGAACACCAAGUGCCAGCACAUAGUGUUGGCUGUUUGCGAGCCUAAAAAGCUCGGAGAGUAAGGGCUGGGUAAGACGGGUGCCAGCCGCCGCGGUAAUACCUGCAGCCCGAGUGGUGGCCGUUAUUAUUGGGCCUAAAGCGUCCGUAGCCGGUUUGGUAGAUGCCUUUGUAAAUCGAACGGCUCAACCGUUCGACUUGAGGGUAGACCGCCAGACUCGGGAUCGGGAGAGGUGCGAGGUACUCGGGGGGUAGAGGUGAAAUUCUGUAAUCCUCCGGGGACCACCGGUGGCGAAGGCGUCGCACUUGAACGACUCCGACGGUGAGGGACGAAGCCCUGGGGCGCAAACCGGAUUAGAUACCCGGGUAGUCCAGGGUGUAAACGCUGUGGGCUUGGUGUCGGCAGUCCUACGGGGGCAGCCGGUGCCGGAGAGAAGUUGUUAAGCCCACCGCCUGGGGAGUACGGCCGCAAGGUUGAAACUUAAAGGAAUUGGCGGGGGAGCA